Molecule: ribosomal RNA, 826 nt
Filed under: Mycena gombakensis
Lineage: Eukaryota; Fungi; Basidiomycota; Agaricomycetes; Agaricales; Mycenaceae
Description: LSU rRNA
Rfam family: Eukaryotic large subunit ribosomal RNA
Source: RNAcentral
AGUGAAGCGGGAAAAGCUCAAAUUUAAAAUCUGGCGGUUCUGCCGUCCGAGUUGUAAUUUAGAGAAGUGCUAUCCGCGCUGGACCGUGUACAAGUUCCCUGGAAUGGGACGUCAUAGAGGGUGAGAAUCCCGUCUUUGACACGGACUACCAGGGCAUUGUGAUGCGCUCUCGAAGAGUCGAGUUGUUUGGGAAUGCAGCUCAAAAUGGGUGGUAAAUUCCAUCUAAAGCUAAAUAUUGGGGAGAGACCGAUAGCGAACAAGUACCGUGAGGGAAAGAUGAAAAGAACUUUGGAAAGAGAGUUAAACAGUACGUGAAAUUGCUGAAAGGGAAACGCUUGAAGUCAGUCGCGUCGUUCAGGAUUCAGCCUUGCCUUUGCUUGGUGUACUUCCUGUUCGACGGGUCAGCAUCAGUUUUGGCCGGUGGAAAAAGGCUCAGAGAAUGUGGCACCUUCGGGUGUGUUAUAGCUUUGGGUCACAUACAUCGGCUGGGACUGAGGAACUCAGCACGCCGCAAGGCCGGGUUUCGACCACGUUCGUGCUUAGGAUGCUGGCAUAAUGGCUUUAAUCGACCCGUCUUGAAACACGGACCAAGGAGUCUAACAUGCCUGCGAGUGUUUGGGUGGAAAACCCGAGCGCGUAAUGAAAGUGAAAGUUGAGAUCCCUGUCGUGGGGAGCAUCGACGCCCGGAGCAGACCUUUUGUGACGCAUCCGCGGUAGAGCAUGUAUGUUGGGACCCGAAAGAUGGUGAACUAUGCCUGAAUAGGGUGAAGCCAGAGGAAACUCUGGUGGAGGCUCGUAGCGAUUCUGACGUGCAAAUCGAUCGUCG